UGAUAGUCUGAUUCACCCUUUCAACUUU
Molecule: non-coding RNA, 28 nt
Filed under: Rattus norvegicus (Norway rat)
Lineage: Eukaryota; Metazoa; Chordata; Mammalia; Rodentia; Muridae
Source: RNAcentral